CUUAAUACAUGCAAGUUGAACGGCAGCGGGUCCAGCAAUGGAUGCCGGCGAGUAGCGCACGGGUGCGUAACACGUAUGUAACCUACCUAUAACCGGGACAUAACCUCGAGAAAUCGUGGCUAACAUCCCAUAACAUCCCUUGAUCGCAUGUUUAAGGGAUUAAAAUUCCGAUGGUUUUAGAUGGGCAUGCGCGACAUUAGCUAGUUGGUGAGGUAACGGCUCACCAAGGCAACGAUGUCUAGGGGGUCUGAGAGGAUGAUCCCCCACACUGGUACUGAGACACGGACCAGGCUCCUACGGGAGGCAGCAGUAAGGAAUAUUGGGCAAUGGGCGCAAGCCUGACCCAGCCAUGCCGCGUGCAGGAUGACAGCCCUACGGGUUGUAAACUGCUUUUAUACGGGAAAAACCCCCUCGACGUGUCGAGGGCUGAUGGUACCGUAAGAAUAAGCAUCGGCUAACUCCGUGCCAGCAGCCGCGGUAAUACGGAGGAUGCAAGCGUUAUCCGGAUUUACUGGGUUUAAAGGGUGCGCAGGCGGAACGAUCAGUCAGUGGUGAAAUCUCCCGGCUUAACCGGGAAACUGCCAUUGAUACUAUCGUUCUUGAGUCCAGUUGAAGUAGGCGGAAUGUAGCAUGUAGCGGUGAAAUGCUUAGAUAUGCUACAUAACACCGAUAUCGAAGGCAGCUUACUAAACUGAUACUGACGCUCAAGCACUAAAGCGUGGGGAUCAAACAGGAUUAAAUACCCUGGGUAGUCCACGGCUCUAAACGGAUGAACCACUCGUUCGUUGGCAAUACAUCGGU
RNAcentral lists this ribosomal RNA (801 nucleotides) under uncultured bacterium. RNAcentral describes it as "bacterial SSU rRNA". It matches the Rfam family "Bacterial small subunit ribosomal RNA", at positions 47 to 840 of the family's 1533-position model. The record is from RNAcentral.